AGUGAACGCUGGCGGUAGGCCUAACACAUGCAAGUCGAACGGCAGCACAGUAAGAGCUUGCUCUUACGGGUGGCGAGUGGCGGACGGGUGAGGAAUACAUCGGAAUCUACUUUUUCGUGGGGGAUGACGUAGGGAAACUUACGCUAAUACCGCAUACGACCUACGGGUGAAAGCAGGGGAUCUUCGGACCUUGCGCGAUUGAAUGAGCCGAUGUCGGAUUAGCUAGUUGGCGGGGUAAAGGCCCACCAAGGCGACGAUCCGUAGCUGGUCUGAGAGGAUGAUCAGCCACACUGGAACUGAGACACGGUCCAGACUCCUACGGGAGGCAGCAGUGGGGAAUAUUGGACAAUGGGCGCAAGCCUGAUCCAGCCAUACCGCGUGGGUGAAGAAGGCCUUCGGGUUGUAAAGCCCUUUUGUUGGGAAAGAAAAGCAGCAGGUUAAUACCCCGCUGUUCUGACGGUACCCAAGGAAUAAGCACCGGCUAACUUCGUG
Molecule: ribosomal RNA, 492 nt
Filed under: uncultured bacterium
Lineage: Bacteria
Description: partial 16S ribosomal RNA
Rfam family: Bacterial small subunit ribosomal RNA
Source: RNAcentral